AAGACUAUACUUCACAGGAUCAUUUCUGUAGUCAGUCUUCACAUACUUUCACUCUAGCUGAAAGCCAAGUGCACCCGCGUUGAUGAGUUGAAUCGUCCUAUUCGGCAGCGUGAGGAUUUGCCCAGUGCCCUUUGUGGUGCGGCGCUCCGGCGUUCGUAUCCUUCGGGGCGCAGGGCUUCGAUGAUCGCUCGGUUCGUAACGGAUAGGGCGAAUUCUGAGUGGU
Small nucleolar RNA from Drosophila kikkawai, 223 nucleotides. RefSeq annotates it as small nucleolar RNA U3. The record is from RefSeq and is a predicted model, not a curated record. NCBI's taxonomy places the organism in Eukaryota, Metazoa, Arthropoda, Insecta, Diptera, Drosophilidae.